RNAcentral lists this ribosomal RNA (522 nucleotides) under Escherichia coli. RNAcentral describes it as "partial 23S ribosomal RNA". It matches the Rfam family "Bacterial large subunit ribosomal RNA", at positions 1223 to 1746 of the family's 2925-position model. The record is from RNAcentral. Lineage: Bacteria; Pseudomonadati; Pseudomonadota; Gammaproteobacteria; Enterobacterales; Enterobacteriaceae.
GUUGGGUAGGGGAGCGUUCUGUAAGCCUGCGAAGGUGUGCUGUGAGGCAUGCUGGAGGUAUCAGAAGUGCGAAUGCUGACAUAAGUAACGAUAAAGCGGGUGAAAAGCCCGCUCGCCGGAAGACCAAGGGUUCCUGUCCAACGUUAAUCGGGGCAGGGUGAGUCGACCCCUAAGGCGAGGCCGAAAGGCGUAGUCGAUGGGAAACAGGUUAAUAUUCCUGUACUUGGUGUUACUGCGAAGGGGGGACGGAGAAGGCUAUGUUGGCCGGGCGACGGUUGUCCCGGUUUAAGCGUGUAGGCUGGUUUUCCAGGCAAAUCCGGAAAAUCAAGGCUGAGGCGUGAUGACGAGGCACUACGGUGCUGAAGCAACAAAUGCCCUGCUUCCAGGAAAAGCCUCUAAGCAUCAGGUAACAUCAAAUCGUACCCCAAACCGACACAGGUGGUCAGGUAGAGAAUACCAAGGCGCUUGAGAGAACUCGGGUGAAGGAACUAGGCAAAAUGGUGCCGUAACUUCGGGAGAAGG